This 240-nucleotide unclassified non-coding RNA is filed under the name fungal sp. RNAcentral describes it as "partial internal transcribed spacer region". The stretch from base 1 to 46 matches the Rfam family "Eukaryotic small subunit ribosomal RNA", at positions 1786 to 1831 of the family's 1831-position model. Lineage: Eukaryota; Fungi. The record is from RNAcentral.
AAGUCGUAACAAGGUUUCCGUAGGUGAACCUGCGGAAGGAUCAUUAAAGAGACGUACGCCCUUCGGGGUAUACCUCCCACCCUUUGUUUAUAUUACCUGUGUUGCUUUGGCUGACCUGCCCUUGGGCUCCCGGCUUCGGCUGGGUCGUGUCAGCCAGAGGAAUAUCAAACUCUGAUUGUAUUUAUUGUCUGAGUAAUAACUUAAUAGUUAAAACUUUCAACAACGGAUCUCUUGGUUCUG